This 443-nucleotide ribosomal RNA is filed under the name uncultured bacterium. Its description in RNAcentral is "partial 16S ribosomal RNA". It matches the Rfam family "Bacterial small subunit ribosomal RNA", at positions 338 to 795 of the family's 1533-position model. The record is from RNAcentral.
CCUACGGGAGGCAGCAGUGGGGAAUAUUGCUCAAUGGGCGCAAGCCUGAUCCAGCAACGCCGCGUGAAGGAAGACGGGUUUCUGCUCGUAAACUUCUAUCAACAGGGACGAAAGAAAUGACGGUACCUGAAUAUGAAGCCCCCGCUAACUACGUGGCAGCAGCCGCGGUAAUACGUAGGGGGCAAGCGUUAUUCGGAAUGACUGGGUGUAAAGGGUGAGUAGGCGGCAUGGUAAGCCAGAUGUGAAAGCCUUGGGCUUAACCCGAGGAUUGCAUUUGGAACUAUGAAGCUAGAGUGCAGGAGAGGAAAGCGGAAUUCCGAGUGGAGCGGUGAAAUGCGUAGAUAUUAGGAAGAACACCAGUGGCGAAGGCGGCUUUCUGGACUGAAACUGACGCUGAGGCACGAAAGCGUGGGGAGCGAACAGGAUUAGAUACCCUUGUAGUC